CUGGCGGCGUGCUUAACACAUGCAAGUCGAACGGAAAGGCCUCUUCGGAGGUACUCGAGUGGCGAACGGGUGAGUAACACGUGGGCAAUCUGCCCUGCACUUCGGGAUAAGCCUGGGAAACUGGGUCUAAUACCGGAUAGGACCUUUAGACGCAUGUCUUUUGGUGGAAAGCUUUUGCGGUGUGGGAUGGGCCCGCGGCCUAUCAGCUUGUUGGUGGGGUGAUGGCCUACCAAGGCGACGACGGGUAGCCGGCCUGAGAGGGUGUCCGGCCACACUGGGACUGAGAUACGGCCCAGACUCCUACGGGAGGCAGCAGUGGGGAAUAUUGCACAAUGGGCGCAAGCCUGAUGCAGCGACGCCGCGUGGGGGAUGACGGCCUUCGGGUUGUAAACCUCUUUCACCAUCGACGAAGGUCCGGGUUUUCUCGGAUUGACGGUAGGUGGAGAAGAAGCACCGGCCAACUACG
RNAcentral lists this ribosomal RNA (466 nucleotides) under Mycobacterium avium complex sp. RNAcentral describes it as "bacterial SSU rRNA". It matches the Rfam family "Bacterial small subunit ribosomal RNA", at positions 36 to 505 of the family's 1533-position model. Lineage: Bacteria; Bacillati; Actinomycetota; Actinomycetes; Mycobacteriales; Mycobacteriaceae. The record is from RNAcentral.